RNAcentral lists this transfer RNA (90 nucleotides) under Flavobacteriaceae bacterium. Its description in RNAcentral is "tRNA-Phe". It matches the Rfam family "tRNA". Rfam says of the family: Transfer RNA (tRNA) molecules are approximately 80 nucleotides in length. Their secondary structure includes four short double-helical elements and three loops (D, anti-codon, and T loops). Further hydrogen bonds mediate the characteristic L-shaped molecular structure. tRNAs have two regions of fundamental functional importance: the anti-codon, which is responsible for specific mRNA codon recognition, and the 3' end, to which the tRNAs corresponding amino acid is attached (by aminoacyl-tRNA synthetases). tRNAs cope with the degeneracy of the genetic code in two manners: having more than one tRNA (with a specific anti-codon) for a particular amino acid; and 'wobble' base-pairing, i.e. permitting non-standard base-pairing at the 3rd anti-codon position. The record is from RNAcentral. Lineage: Bacteria; Pseudomonadati; Bacteroidota; Flavobacteriia; Flavobacteriales; Flavobacteriaceae. RNAcentral also lists the same sequence under 1 other name.
AUAUAGGUGGUCGAGUGGUCUAAGGCACCUGAUUGAAGAUCAGGCGUACGGGAAACUGUACCGGGAGUUCGAAUCUUCCUCUAUCCGCAA